This 465-nucleotide ribosomal RNA is filed under the name uncultured bacterium. Its description in RNAcentral is "bacterial SSU rRNA". It matches the Rfam family "Bacterial small subunit ribosomal RNA", at positions 335 to 792 of the family's 1533-position model. The record is from RNAcentral.
ACUCCUACGGGAGGCAGCAGUGGGGAAUAUUGCACAAUGGGCGCAAGCCUGAUGCAGCCAUGCCGCGUGUAUGAAGAAGGCCUUCGGGUUGUAAAGUACUUUCAGCAGUGAGGAAGGUGGAGUCGUUAAUAGCGGCCUCAUUUGACGUUAGCUGCAGAAGAAGCACCGGCUAACUCCGUGCCAGCAGCCGCGGUAAUACGGAGGGUGCGAGCGUUAAUCGGAAUUACUGGGCGUAAAGCGCAUGCAGGUGGUUUGUUAAGUCAGAUGUGAAAGCCCGGGGCUCAACCUCGGAAUUGCAUUUGAAACUGGCAGACUAGAGUCUUGUAGAGGGGGGUAGAAUUUCAGGUGUAGCGGUGAAAUGCGUAGAGAUCUGAAGGAAUACCAGUGGCGAAGGCGGCCCCCUGGACAAAGACUGACGCUCAGAUGCGAAAGCGUGGGGAGCAAACAGGAUUAGAUACCCUGGUA